GGGGGAUCUCUCAUACCCCAGCACAGCGCUGAGCAGACACUAGGAGACCCUGAUCCAAGUCUGGAGCUGGAUGGAAAAUAAGUCACUGUCAUUGUUCACUCCCUCUUGUUCUAGAUGAAGAAUCUGAGGCCCAGAGAACACCAAGGGCUUGCACAAGGGAGAGCUGGGCAGGGCCGGAGUGGAGAAAACUAAGGCCCAAUGGGGAAAAUGACUGUCCCAAGAGAACAAAGUUCAAGGCCCUGCUGCUACUUUAGAAGCAGACCUGCAAGUACAAUGACUCCCCCACAGAAUACAUCCUUCUGAAAAGCAUUUGAAGUCAAGCUCUGUUGUCUCUGCAUGUUUGCCUCUCUCCUGCUGCUUCUGAGCUUUUCCACAUGGAUGUGAUGAGCUGAAUAAUGGCCCCCAAAGAUGUCCAUGUCCUAAUCCCCAACGUGUGAGUGUUACCUUACAAAGCAAAAGUGAUUCUGCAUAUGUGACCAAGUUAAGGAUGAAAUGAGAUGAUAAAAUCAUCUAUGGGUUACUCAGGUGGGCCCAAUGUAAUCACCAGGGUCCUUACAAAAGGAGGGAGGAAGGUCAGAGUAGAAGAGGAGAUGCGAUGAUAGUAGCAGAGGUGAGGGCUGCAUGCAGUGGCCAUGCCUGCAAUCCCAGUACUUUGGGAGGCCAAGGUGGGUGGAUCACCUGAGGUCAAGAGUUCAAGACCAGCCUGGCUAAUAUGGCAAAGCUCCGUCUCUACUAAAAAUACAGAAAAUUAGCCGGGUGUGGUGGUGGGCACCUGUAAUCACAGCUACACAGGAGGCUGAGGCUGGAGCAUUGCUUGAACCCAGGAAGUGGAGGUGGCAGUGAGCCAAGAUUGUGCAACUGCACUCCAGCCUGGGCAACAAGAGCUAAAUCCCAUCUCAAAAAACAAAAGAAGCAGAGAUGAGAAAGAGAAAGGGAGAGAGAGUUUUGAAGAUGGAGUAGAGACAGAAGCUAUGAGCAGAAGAUUGUAGGGAGCCUAGAAGCUGAAAAAAGUCAAGAAAAUAGAUUCUCCCCUAGAGUUUCCAGAAAGAAGACAACCCUGCCAACAGCUUAAUUUUAGGAUUUCUACCUCCAGAACUAUAAAAUAGUAUAUGCAUGUUGUUUUAAUCCACCGAAUUUGUGGUAACUCAAUGCUGAAGCAAUAGUUAACUAAUCUAAGGGCCUUACAGCUCCAGGUUUACAUCUUCUCGUUUACUAAUCUCAUUGUCCAUGGGGGUGGAGGAACUUCCUUUCUCUCAAAGUCCCCACAGGAUUCCCAGAGAAACAGUCUUUUUGGCCACAGACAGUUCAAGGAACCGUCUCUUGUGAUGUGGAUCACUGGUGCCAAAAUGGAAGGAAGAAAGCCAGCCUAGCCCAGGUGUCAUGGCUGCAGUGGUGGUUUGGGUGGAGACACCGCAAUUGGUGGGCCCCUCAGAAUCACUUGGAAUGAGGAGGAGAAGGCCUGCUGGACAAAUGAAAACAGCCCAUAUGUCUCGCAGCGGCAAUAUUCCAAGAACAAUGUAAGGAGCUGAAACCCAGGGCUACAUUAGGAGGUGCUAAAGGCAGGAGAGAGGUGUGCAAACCAGGGGAGAAGUUGGCAGAAUCUCCUGAAGGUUCUGGGUCCUUCAGGACCAUGUGGGAAUUUCUACUGUGACAUUGCAGGGUCGUCAGUGUGCAUACCGCUAGAGAAGACUCAAUGGGGUGUGUGUGUGUGCAUGUGUGGGUGGGUGUGUAUAGGAGGUAGCAGAGUGCAGUGGUGAA
Molecule: non-coding RNA, 1758 nt
Organism: Callithrix jacchus (white-tufted-ear marmoset)
Lineage: Eukaryota; Metazoa; Chordata; Mammalia; Primates; Cebidae
Source: RefSeq, a predicted model, not a curated record